UACGUAGGUGGCGAGCGUUGUCCGGAUUUACUGGGCGUAAAGGGGGCGUAGGCGGGCUUUUAAGUGAGAUGUGAAAUACUCGGGCUCAACUUGAGUGCUGCAUUUCAAACUGGAAGUCUAGAGUGCAGGAGAGGAGGAUGGAAUUCCUAGUGUAGCGGUGAAAUGCGUAGAGAUUAGGAAGAACACCAGUGGCGAAGGCGAUUCUCUGGACUGUAACUGACGCUGAGGCUCGAAAGCGUGGGGAGCAAACAGG
RNAcentral lists this ribosomal RNA (253 nucleotides) under uncultured bacterium. RNAcentral's name for it is "partial 16S ribosomal RNA". It matches the Rfam family "Bacterial small subunit ribosomal RNA", at positions 524 to 776 of the family's 1533-position model. The record is from RNAcentral.